UCGAACCUUCUGGUUCAGGUCGCAGGAAGGGAAAACCCCCUAUAUGGGGGUCAAUUUCUCAAAUUGAAGAAGAAUUAACGAGAUUGGAGCUUGAUUCUAUCAUCCUUCUCGAUUUCUAUGGAUAAUGGUGAGAUAACGUUUGGAUGUCAACGGGUCAAACGGGUGAUAAAGCAACAACACUCCUACGGGCGAAGGGAUAUACAUGAGAUAUGGAUAAAAGGCUCCCGGAUUAGAAAGGAGAAAAUUACGGAAUGCAUGACUUGAGAUAAUGAAGUGGAGGCUCGACGUUGUUUUGUUGGGCGUCAUGAGCAUUAAAAAAAACCUCCUUUAUGUUUGAUACAAAAAAAAUAUAAUAUUACGAGUCCUCACUUAGCAAAAGCUAAUUUUUUGUAUCUUCAAUGUAGGUGAUAUGUUUGAAAACAAUGAACGGAUAGACAAGUUAUGAGAAACAACGGGGUGGCUUGAACCGGUAACAUGCAAGAAGAAAAGAACUCAAAAGUCGUUCACCAAUAAUCCGAUUCGGGUGGUAGAAAGGCGAAAGUGCUCAAGUCUUGGAAGCGGGUCAACUAUGGAAAGAUUUAGUGAUGAUUUAUUCACUAAGUAUAUGGGUUCUUAUCGGGUCAACUUGACCUAGUUAUUUACAUUUUGGAGUUUAACUUCAGUGUUUGUUUUAGCUAAGCGCUAGUAUGUC
This 691-nucleotide long non-coding RNA is filed under the name Helianthus annuus (common sunflower). The record is from RNAcentral. Lineage: Eukaryota; Viridiplantae; Streptophyta; Magnoliopsida; Asterales; Asteraceae.